This 492-nucleotide ribosomal RNA is filed under the name uncultured bacterium. RNAcentral's name for it is "partial 16S ribosomal RNA". It matches the Rfam family "Bacterial small subunit ribosomal RNA", at positions 29 to 507 of the family's 1533-position model. The record is from RNAcentral.
AGUGAACGCUGGCGGUAGGCCUAACACAUGCAAGUCGAACGGCAGCACAGUAAGAGCUUGCUCUUACGGGUGGCGAGUGGCGGACGGGUGAGGAAUACAUCGGAAUCUACUUUUUCGUGGGGGAUAACGUAGGGAAACUUACGCUAAUACCGCAUACGACCUACGGGUGAAAGCAGGGGAUCUUCGGACCUUGCGCGAUUGAAUGAGCCGAUGUCGGAUUAGCUAGUUGGCGGGGUAAAGGCCCACCAAGGCGACGAUCCGUAGCUGGUCUGAGAGGAUGAUCAGCCACACUGGAACUGAGACACGGUCCAGACUCUUACGGGAGGCAGUAGCGGGGAAUAUUGGACAAUGGGCGCAAGCCUGAUCCAGCCAUACCGCGUGGGUGAAGAAGGCCUUCGGGUUGUAAAGCCCUUUUGUUGGGAAAGAAAAGCAGCAGGUUAAUACCCCGCUGUUCUGACGGUACCCAAAGAAUAAGCACCGGCUAACUUCGUG